AGGGCGAGUAUAAGCGGUCAGGGCCAUUGGUCCGGGACAUUGCUCGGCAA
RNAcentral lists this non-coding RNA (50 nucleotides) under Pseudorhodoplanes sinuspersici. RNAcentral describes it as "Xanthine-I sequence". It matches the Rfam family "Xanthine riboswitch aptamer (NMT1 RNA)". From Rfam's summary of the family: Later it was reported as a ncRNA that recognised Xanthine. Lineage: Bacteria; Pseudomonadati; Pseudomonadota; Alphaproteobacteria; Hyphomicrobiales. The record is from Rfam by way of RNAcentral.